CGCAGUCACAAAUAUUUGUUCAAACACUCAAGAAGAACAUGAUGAAGAAAAAAUCAGAAUCUGCAACAUACAAUUAUUGAGCUCAAAGAGUACUUGGUACGGACUCUUUACAUUUCGUUUACAGCAAAAUAGUAACUAUUCUGAUUACUAUUAGUAACUAUCAAUAUCCGUUUCUGGCCCUCAAAGGUAGUAACGCAGACGGUUCACCAACAUCUGUAGGUUUAUAGAGAAAUCAGUAUCAGAGAGAGGAGUGCCAGCGAGAGAAAGAAAUUCACGAGGCAUCAUAAAAUGAUAUAAUAAUGGCUUGGUCACCGAGAAGAAUAUAUAAGUAAAUAUCAAGUGACCCCAGCAUUUGAUUGAAAAAGGUGGAAUGAUGGACAUAUUGCCUGAAGAGCUGUUUAUUUUUUACAGCAUUGACACAUAAACAAUUCCCUGAAGGAAAUGUUUAAUGCUGCGCCUUCGUAGCAUGACGUGAAAUUUGUCUUUGGCUACAAGUCCCUAUUGAAAGACACGAAAAUUUGAAGACAGUAAGAAUACAGAACUGGAAGCCUGGGUCCGAG
Molecule: long non-coding RNA, 560 nt
Filed under: Citrus maxima (pomelo)
Lineage: Eukaryota; Viridiplantae; Streptophyta; Magnoliopsida; Sapindales; Rutaceae
Description: long non-coding RNA (CMAX_LNC001349)
Source: RNAcentral